CCUAUCGAGCCUUAAAACCACAUACGGUCCUCUACGCUGGCGUUGGGACGACAUAGCUUCACGAGACACCACCCUAACACCGCGGCUCUGCCCCCGGUGCUGUAUAUCUUUUUAAUUCAUCGUUUUGAAUGCGGCCCUGGAGUCUCUCCUCAAAGUUACCGCCAUGUCCUCUAAUGCACAAACUGGGGCCUUAACGGACUCGUCCGGCACCCUGUCUGGAAGCCAAUUGACGAAGCAGCUCCAACAGAAGAUGACCGGAUUGAAGGAGGCAAUAGGACCUGAGACUCCAGCUGCAAGUCGGUCCCCAACGAAAGCCCGCUCUCUUUCUGAGGCACCUUCAAGAACCCCCUCCUCCGUCUCACCGAACCCUUCGAGCAUCCAACGAACUAAAGAUGAUAUAGCGGUUACCGCAGCUCCUGCAACACCCCACAGACCCGAUCGCCUUACACAUGGACUAUCACUGCAAAUGCCCUCGAGAAUGUUUGGUAGCCCGAUCGCAGCAGGGAAUCGAGUCCCUCUCUCUCCGAAGCUGGAUUCUUCGCACAUAUAUGGCUCACCCGCCUCAGUAUUACCGCGGCGAUCCAGGGGAUUGGACUUUUCACGCGCAUGCACGAAUUUACAUCAUUCUACCUUGGCUGAAUCGUCGCCAGACUCCUCCCCGGUCGUUCUUGGUCGUGGAGUAGCUAUACCCAAUCGCCGGAGUAAUACCAACUCGGCGGGAAUGGGUUCUCCGGGCAUGCCCGGGGGCAGCACCUGGCAAUCCAUUGGUAACAGUGAUCGAGCUGUGAUAUCCAGCUCCGUGAGCAGUGUCAACAUGUUCGAAUCCGAUACCACUAGUAGUAGCGACGGGGAUGAGGACGACUCCAUGCAUAUAAUCGAUAGGGAAGAUCCGAUCCUAAUGACCCCACAUCUUGCUCGACCGGGAAAUGCGUUCUCGACACCAUUUUCUCCAAGCACAGCUCAAAGCCCCGGCGGCGAUUGGAUGAGUGGGCUUUCUGCUGCUAAAGCCAGCCUCAUGAGUUUUCAACGUGCCCGACUGCGUGGUGCUAGGAGUAGACACAGCUCAAGUAGCACCAGCGGUAAUAGCUCGAAGCCCAGCCCUGGACCCAUAUCACCACCCGUUUUUAAAAGUAUCGAGAGCGCCGCCACUAGCUAUUUCCCCAGAGAAAUGUCCAUGAGCGAAGUCAAAUCACGGCGGGAAAGCCUAAGUCUAGGCACGAGUGACCUUCAUUUGUCAGACAUGAGCGAUGAUGAUAAUCGACUAGCUCGGUUUGGUAGCCCGUCCAGCAGCGCUCCCUUACCGGGGACAACAAAUAUCGAAAGCGGGCCUCACGGUGUAAUUCGACGUCCUGUAACGAGGAGAGGAAAUUUACUGCCUAAAACGAAGAACUUCGCCCGGAUCCGGGCGGCACUGCUUGAAGAAGUAGCCCCGAUUGAUUUCGAGUGUCAGCGGGAGGCUGAAGUCAUUCGGCAGGUUCGCGAGAGCGAAGGCGGUGAAUUACCCCCGCUCUCACCUUCCUUAACAUCCCCUCUAGACUCGUCGGAUUCCAUUAAUCCCAAUGAUGCAAGGGACAUUGCUACCACCGGGCUCACGGGAGAAGGGUCGUCAUCAAGCAUUUUCACCAGCCAUCCAUCCAGUGGUAUAGGCCGUUUAAGUGCCUUUAAUAACCGAUAUCAAACUCCACCUCCGCCGACAGCCCAACCCACUGGCCCCUUCACUUCCACCUCUACCUCCGAUACAACGAUGCAAACACCCCCAUCUGCAUCCCCGGGCAUCUUGGCAACCCAACACACCAGUAACAACGCCCCGCAACCUUCCGCCGCUGCCGGCCCUUCGCGCAUCGAAGCGGAAGCGUCCCGCACAAACAAAAAACGUAGACACGAUGAGAUGAUCGAUAUGAACGCGUUCAAGCGGCGGGCAGUUUCGCCAGGGAUGUAUGUGCAGAAUUGCCCUGUCGCGGCCUCUCAGCCUUCCUCAUCGGGAUCUUCUGCUUCGUAUUUGAGCAAGAAACUUAACAAGGAACUUAGCAGUCGAGCAGAAGGUGACGCUCAGACGCAGCUGCAGUCGAAAAAUCCCCUGACUUCGACAUCGACACCGACAACUGGAAAGACUGUGAGGGUGACGGAGGGUAGUACUAUGAAGAGGGUUGGGAUGCAGGGGAUGAAAGAGACAAAUGACGGGUUGAUGAAUAUGAGUAUUGAUUGAUCUGCGGUCUCCAGGUGUUGAGAUUCUAUUCUUCUGUGUCGUUACGAUUGUCUUUUCAUCUCAUUUUCUUUUAUUUACUUCAUAUGCGUAUUUAGCGGAGGCGCACUCGGGAUAUUUUUUUUUCUUGUGGCCUACUUUCCAUUAUGUAGCAUUCCUGUUGUUCAACAUAUUUAGCUUCUGGGUUUCUUCGGUUGUGCUUCGUAUCCUUUGCCUGCCAAGACAAAUGAUUUCCUCCUUUUUCUUUUUAUCACUCCACCAUACUCUUAAAUUGAUUUCUUUAGAAUAUACUGCCGCUCUUCAC
RNAcentral lists this small RNA (2507 nucleotides) under Histoplasma capsulatum var. duboisii H88. Its description in RNAcentral is "Histoplasma capsulatum H88 hypothetical RNA". Lineage: Eukaryota; Fungi; Ascomycota; Eurotiomycetes; Onygenales; Ajellomycetaceae. The record is from RNAcentral.